UUUUGGUUUUUUUUUUUUGGUUUCUU
RNAcentral lists this small RNA (26 nucleotides) under Arabidopsis thaliana (thale cress). Its description in RNAcentral is "ATSL141130". Lineage: Eukaryota; Viridiplantae; Streptophyta; Magnoliopsida; Brassicales; Brassicaceae. The record is from RNAcentral.